GCUCGCCGCGCCCGCCGCCGCGAUGUCUGGGGCCGGCCUAGCCGCCGUGGUGAGCCGCCUGCCCCCGCAGCCUGGCGAGGAGCCGCAGACCCAUGAGGACCUUCUCCUGGCAGCUGCCUAUGUUUUGGAUGCCCAGUACAACAGAAAUGUUCCAUUUGAAACUCACCUCAGGCCGUCAGACGUUACUAUUUUUAUAACCACUAGACAACGCAGGUUGCCGCAUACUUCUUUAUUUGUGUAGACUUCGCUCUUGCCCUGUUUGAAGAGCCUGAGUUGCUUCCCCUGCCUUUCUUG
RNAcentral lists this small RNA (294 nucleotides) under Pongo abelii (Sumatran orangutan). RNAcentral's name for it is "processed transcript". Lineage: Eukaryota; Metazoa; Chordata; Mammalia; Primates; Hominidae. The record is from RNAcentral.